Molecule: long non-coding RNA, 321 nt
Filed under: Elaeis guineensis (African oil palm)
Lineage: Eukaryota; Viridiplantae; Streptophyta; Magnoliopsida; Arecales; Arecaceae
Description: long non-coding RNA (EGUI_LNC051853)
Source: RNAcentral
ACCAUUCAUCAGAUAGUACAAUAGAGUCAUCAUAUGAUGAUAAUAAUUUCAUCAUUCAGAGAAAUACCAGAUGGAUAGCGUCUGCAAUAUCAAUCAGAAAUAAUGGACCCAUUAUCAUUCACCUUAAUGGGAGGCUAUGAUCUAGUUAUCACCAUAAUUAGCUCAUUUUAUAGACCUAAUAAUUUAAAAAAUUUGAUUAAUAUAAUUUAUCAAAACUAAAUACAUGAAUCAACUAAUCUCAAUUCUCCCACUAACUUCAUCAAGUCAGAUCAAGGUGGACUAGAAAUAAGUCGGUCCAACUGAAAAGUCAUCAAUCCUCCC